This 714-nucleotide long non-coding RNA is filed under the name Sus scrofa (pig). RNAcentral describes it as "lncRNA (ENSSSCG00045018832.1)". Lineage: Eukaryota; Metazoa; Chordata; Mammalia; Artiodactyla; Suidae. The record is from RNAcentral.
GGCCAAACAAGAAAAGAGCAUCAGACUUCAAACCUGAGAACCAGAAAGCUUCAUGAAGAUCUGAGGAAGAGCUUGGUGAUCAGAGACCUGUGAACCCACUUAGAGAGUCAACUAUGGUCCUCUUAGCACAUGAUGUGCUUGCUUCUAAUUCACAACUGGCUAAGAAAGACCCAACAAAUAGUUGAGUCUUCCCCAGUCCGUGAGUCAGGGAGAAUAUAGGGAUACCACCGAAGAAAUAAGACUUCUCUAGAAGCCUCUUCAGGAGACAGACAGCAUCCAGUCAGCCUACAUGAGCUUCCAGGCAGAAGGGAAAAUGAGAAAAGAACAGAAGCAAUUGAAGCAACACAACCAUAUCUAAGAUUUUUAUUGCCCAACGUUAAAGAAGAAUUACAACGGUUACUUACUUUUAUGGCUCUUGCAUCAGAACCUAAUGCCUACAAGGUGCAAAAACAGUUUGCUAACAAAACGGUGGUCCUGAAAACUCUUGCCAAAGCAGUUUUGCAAUCCAGAUCAUUAUUAAAACUCCGGACAGAACGACUAGUCUUAUUUCUACUGAAGUUUCAUUCUGAGCUCUUCAAGGCACCGGUUACUUUAUUAGAUCUGAUUAAUAAGAAACUUAAGAUGCUUCUACAUGGAGACGAUCCAGAUGCCAUAUCAGGUAUUGAUCCAGACUUACUCUUUCUUCAUCGUUACGUGACUGAUACAGGUACAUAA